GAUGAACGCUGGCGGCGUGCCUAAUACAUGCAAGUCGAGCGAACGGACGAGAAGCUUGCUUUUCUGAUGUUAGCGGCGGACGGGUGAGUAACACGUGGAUAACCUACCUAUAAGACUGGGAUAACUUCGGGAAACCGGAGCUAAUACCGGAUAAUAUUUUGAACCGCAUGGUUCAAAAGUGAAAGACGGUCUUGCUGUCACUUAUAGAUGGAUCCGCGCUGCAUUAGCCAGUUGGUAAGGUAACGGCUUACCAAGGCAACGAUGCAUAGCCGACCUGAGAGGGUGAUAGGCCACACUGGAACUGAGACACGGUCCAGACUCCUACGGGAGGCAGCAGUAGGGAAUCUUCCGCAAUGGGCGAAAGCCUGACGGAGCAACGCCGCGUGAGUGAUGAAGGUCUUCGGAUCGUAAAACUCUGUUAUUAGGGAAGAACAUAUGUGUAAGUAACUGUGCACAUCUUGACGGUACCUAAUCAGAAAGCCACGGCUAACUACGUG
This 497-nucleotide ribosomal RNA is filed under the name uncultured bacterium. RNAcentral's name for it is "partial 16S ribosomal RNA". It matches the Rfam family "Bacterial small subunit ribosomal RNA", at positions 28 to 507 of the family's 1533-position model. The record is from RNAcentral.